Molecule: ribosomal RNA, 497 nt
Filed under: uncultured bacterium
Lineage: Bacteria
Description: bacterial SSU rRNA
Rfam family: Bacterial small subunit ribosomal RNA
Source: RNAcentral
AGGGUUCGAUUCUGGCUCAGGAUGAACGCUGGCGGCGUGCUUAACACAUGCAAGUCGAACGAGUUAUGAUGAAACCUAGUGAUCAUAAAUGAGUGGCGGACGGGUGAGUAACGCGUGGGUAACCUGCCUUACACUGGGGGAUAACACUUAGAAAUAGGUGCUAAUACCGCAUAAGCGCACAGCUUCGCAUGAAGUAGUGUGAAAAGCUCCGGUGGUGUAAGAUGGACCCGCGUCUGAUUAGCUAGUUGGCGAGGUAACGGCUCACCAAGGCAACGAUCAGUAGCCGGCCUGAGAGGGUGAACGGCCACAUUGGGACUGAGACACGGCCCAAACUCCUACGGGAGGCAGCAGUGGGGAAUAUUGGACAAUGGGGGAAACCCUGAUCCAGCGACGCCGCGUGAGUGAAGAAGUAUUUCGGUAUGUAAAGCCCUAUCAGCAGGGAAGAAAAUGACGGUACCUGACUAAGAAGCCCCGGCUAACUACGUGCCAGCAGCCGC